Molecule: long non-coding RNA, 1027 nt
Filed under: Mytilus galloprovincialis (Mediterranean mussel)
Lineage: Eukaryota; Metazoa; Mollusca; Bivalvia; Mytilida; Mytilidae
Source: RNAcentral
CUUCAAUAUCAUAUUAUGCAUCUCUUGGCUCAUUUCAAAAUUACUUGAAAAUGUCAUUUCGGUAUAAUUUUGUCAAAACUUCCACUCUGAAGGUUUUAUAUUGAAAGAAAGCAAUAUCAAUUUUAAACAGUUUUAUAGCUAAUGAUAAAACAUGAAACUAUGGUUUUAAAAUACCUAAUAAUAUGAAUUGAUAUAAAAAAGAAAAAAGUUUUAAAAGCUAUCUUUUUUUUUAACUUUUUGUUUCAAGAAAUCAUUCACAGGAUGCUCUACUAAAUUCAUCUAGUGCGUAAUCUUUAAAACUUGAAACGCUGGAAAAGUCAUUUAUAUUUCAACAUUGGACUUUAUUAAUGAUAAUAUUUUUCAUUGGCAUGUAUUGCUUACAUUAUGGGAAAGACACUAUGAUAUAUGCAAGUUCGAAGGCAAUUUGAAAACAGUUAUACCCUGUUUAUUGUGAAUUUGUGUCUGAGUUGGAUUGAUGCAUUUGCGUUUUACUAUUUUAUUGAAACAUUUUGUUGGCAAAUAAAAUAUCUAACAUCGAAGUGCUUCAAUUCAUAUUAAUAAGCAAACAAUGGAAACACACACGAUUCAAAUAGACAGUGUACAUAAAAUACAGAACAAUGAAUAAUAAUUUGUAACGAAAAAGCAUGCAAUUUCGACCAUAGUAAACGUACCAAACGCUAAAUAUUUAGUCAUGACAACUUAUGAAUUGUUCUUUGAAGGAGACACAUUCAAUCUCGAAAAACCAUAUAUUAAACAUGUUACUUCGAUUUGUUGGUAUAAAAUGAAUGGCAAAAUAAAUCUACGCAACAACACGCACAUAUAAGUGAUAUAUUUUCUUGCUGUGUAAAACCCAUUGGUGGCCUUCGGUUGUGUUUUGCUUUUUGGUCGGUUUGUUGUCUCUCUGAAUCAUUCCAUUCAUAUGUUAAAAGUAGUUUCAUGAGCACCUUGUUUAAAGUCUAAGGAUAUUUCAAAUUUAAAAAAUAAUUAAUAAGUACUCUAUGUUAAUCUUCAGAAAUGUAAUAUACCC